GGCACGUUACCAAAGCGGCCAAAUGGAUCUGACUGUAAAUCAGACGCUUCGUGCUUCGGGGGUUCGAAUCCCUCACCUGCCACCA
RNAcentral lists this transfer RNA (85 nucleotides) under Actinomyces sp. RNAcentral describes it as "tRNA-Tyr". It matches the Rfam family "tRNA". From Rfam's summary of the family: Transfer RNA (tRNA) molecules are approximately 80 nucleotides in length. Their secondary structure includes four short double-helical elements and three loops (D, anti-codon, and T loops). The record is from RNAcentral. Lineage: Bacteria; Bacillati; Actinomycetota; Actinomycetes; Actinomycetales; Actinomycetaceae.